Long non-coding RNA from Topomyia yanbarensis, 2745 nucleotides. RefSeq lists it as uncharacterized. Lineage: Eukaryota; Metazoa; Arthropoda; Insecta; Diptera; Culicidae. The record is from RefSeq and is a predicted model, not a curated record. The transcript is spliced from 5 exons.
CAGAACAGCUUCUGUUUUCAUCGCUGGAUCGAUUCUGAAUACUGUCACGUUAAUUUGGUGUCGCUAACUAUUGAAAAAAUCAAAAAUUCCUCGAACGGCCCAUUUUACUAUGUAUUCCCCUGUCCUAUUUUACCUUGAUUCUCCAUACUUUUACACCAUUUGGAUGAACUUCGAGUGGGGAAUAUGAAAUAAAGUUACGGCGGGUAGCCUGUAACAAAGUUCCAGUAGCCUACCGCUCGCCGGCAUCUAUUUUAAUCAGGCUAUUCGCCGUUUCGUGUACUGGGUAUGAACUCCAAGAGUUCAUUCCAAUUUGCUAAAAACAUUAUUUUGACGUUGAUGAACCCCAAAACAGUGUUGCAGAAUAUACCGAUUUAUCGAUAUUUAAACCGAUUUUUAAUUUCAAUGCCAAUAAAGCUACUAAAAAUACCGAUUUCUUUUCUCUUACCAAAAAAUAACGAUUUUCAUAUAAGAUCAAUUAAUAUGGGCCCUUUUAGAAAAUGUCUUCACCUUUCCACAUCAAAUCAUCCGGAAAUUGAUUCAGCAGGUUACUAUAAAAACUUCAAAUGAAGUUCAACAACCGAUUCUGAAAUUGAUUGAGCUCAGUAGGUUUCAUUACAUAACAUUAGAAUGAUCUAUAAAUUAAAAACCAAUAAUUUGCAGUUGCAGGUAACUUUUGGUUAGCAUACAUCUUCACACCGAUAAAUACCUUAUUUUUAUUUAGAACUAUACCGAUAUUAGAUUUGUCCCAGUACCAGUAGAAAGUGGAAGUACUCCGGAGCAAACAAAGAGAAAAUCGUUCCUAUGUUCUCUUCUCUUUUUUCUUCUUCCGUUAGCAAACAUGGAGUAAAAAGCAAGUAUUUUUUGCUUCUGUUUGCUCCGGAGCAACUUCUGUGUACUAGAACAAACCUAUUAUACAAAACCAUCUGACAACGCUGCUCUAAAGUGAAAAGUGCUCUUCAACCAUCGAUGACAUCUUUUUUUCCUGUUUUCUCUACCUACCUAAACAUCAGCUGUCUCCCGUUUCCCGAGAGUUCGCCGACCAGUUUUGCUUUCAAACUGAAAAAAACUACAGUUUAACUUCACCAGGCACAAUCAUCAGAAUGAGAUGCAGGAAAAUAUUAACCCAGAAUGGUUUUACCGUCCAGUGUGAGAAACAUUUUACAAAUGAUAAAAAAGGUAUUUGUGCGGAUCUGCGAAUUCGGUUUUUGUGGAAUAAUUCGACCAAAGGCUAUGAUGUAUACUAUAGCAUCGGUGGAGAGUAAGUCCAAUCAUACAGCUUCAUCCCACCCCGGGAGCAGAUGAGCGCUAGCGAAUGUUCUCAGCCACCUGGAGGAGGAGGUUCAGCGCGGAAGAAAUGUUACCAGACUUCGCCGAUCUGGUGUCUGAACUUUUUUUUUUGAUAAUCUCAGAGAUUGGGUGUGCAGAUGGACGGUUGGAGUUCUGGGAGGGAACGACUGGUAACUUUAAGGGUAUAUAUGAAGCCGAAAACACCCACAACAAUGGGGUAACUAACACAUAGCUCGCCGGUGACAAAGUGAUAGUCGCACGGUUGAGUGGAGGAAUCGAUUUUCUGAAACUGGAAACGUACACGCAAGGUUGUCAGAUCGAUUGGGGAUUUACGUCUGCAUAAGGGCGAACCCACGCACGUACCGGUUCGGCAGGAAGCAUUAGGUAAUUUCAGCAAUCCGUCCACAGAGUUGCCAGCUCAACAUCACGCAUCCGACAAGGAGCUUCGAUGUGUCCUGGAGUUUCACCAGCAGCGUCACCGGUGACAUGUUUGGAAGUGGCGAGCGGUACAGUCAUGACUGGCAGCCAGGGCCACACUUUUAAAGUAUUCCGGCUAGAUAGUCACCUAUUGCAGUCCACCCUAAACGGCUAUUGCGGUCCUAUCACAUGUAUUUUCAUAGACCAGUGGCAGGCCGAGAUGGGCGCAUCUGGUUACCAGGAUGGUGUGCUAUGUGUGUGGGACUUGAUACGGGGUGCCUGUAUGUGCAAAAUUGAAGCGACAAAAUUGACGACUCAAUCGUCGCACUUGCCUGUUCCCCGAGUUACGCAAUAUCGCUUGGACUGGACGAACGAAUACGGAUCUGGGAUAGAUUUCAGGGUCGUAUGGGACGACAAUACUGGAGAUGUAGCUCGGGAAGUCAGGCUUGACUGUUCCAAUUCACAGCUAAAUCCGAAGAUUAUGCUACCUGCCAGUGGUUCGGUAAUUUGUGACUACGGAAAUCGAAUGAGAAUCGUUCGUUUCCCACUUGUGGCGGCGGAAAAGUGGUUCGGUCCGGGGAAUCGUAAUCGGCCAGCUGUACAGCUGCAGCCUCCGAACGAAGCCAUUGCUAGCACGAGUCUUUGAUUUGGAAGGAUAGUUGCUGAGGACCAUUCUCACAAUAAGUUGAUAAUAUCCAUUACAUGAUCAAAUGCGCUGAUGGGUAUGAAUAUGCAUGUGUACGGUUUGGUAACCAGUACAAUUUACACCUUUCUAUGCAGUGCACGGCCACCAAUGAUUCUUCCAUAAAUUUAGACAUUGUGCCGAACAAGAGUAAAUUCGCGUAUAUAAAAUAUAUAGGAGGCCCUAUUUUCACAGUCACGUCACUUAGUGACUAGAAGGAAAUUUUCUUCUAGUCACUAGGUGACGUGACUGUGAGAAUAGGGGCUUGGAGCAUAUCGCUGUCUGUGCACGGAACUGAACAUGAUUAAAUUUUUGGCUCACGCGCAUUUAAACGAUCACUUAGCCUAUGUGUCCGCAUG